Molecule: ribosomal RNA, 468 nt
Filed under: uncultured bacterium
Lineage: Bacteria
Description: partial 16S ribosomal RNA
Rfam family: Bacterial small subunit ribosomal RNA
Source: RNAcentral
GACGAACGCUGGCGGCGUGCUUAACACAUGCAAGUCGAACGGAAAGGCCCUGCUUUUGUGGGGUGCUCGAGUGGCGAACGUGUGAGUAACACGUGAGUAACCUGCCCUUGACUUUGGGAUAACUUCAGGAAACUGGGGCUAAUACCGUAUAGGAGCUCCUGCUGCAUGGUGGGGGUUGGAAAGUUUCGGCGGGUGGGGAUGGACUCGCGGCUUAUCAGCUUGUUGGUGGGGUAGUGGCUUACCAAGGCUUUGACGGGUAGCCGGCCUGAGAGGGUGACCGGCCACAUUGGGACUGAGAUACGGCCCAGACUCCUACGGGAGGCAGCAGUGGGGAAUAUUGCACAAUGGGCGGAAGCCUGAUGCAGCAACGCCGCGUGCGGGAUGACGGCCUUCGGGUUGUAAACCGCUUUCGCCUGUGACGAAGCGUGAGUGACGGUAAUGGGUAAAGAAGCACCGGCUAACUACGUG